Molecule: ribosomal RNA, 448 nt
Filed under: uncultured bacterium
Lineage: Bacteria
Description: bacterial SSU rRNA
Rfam family: Bacterial small subunit ribosomal RNA
Source: RNAcentral
AACGAACGCUGGCGGCAGGCCUAACACAUGCAAGUCGAACGCCCUAGCAAUAGGGAGUGGCGCACGGGUGCGUAACGCGUGGGAAUAUGCCCUUGACUACGGAACAACACAGGGAAACUUGUGCUAAUACCGUAUAAUGUCUCCGGACCAAAGAUUUAUCGGUCAAGGAUUAGCCCCGCGUUAGAUUAGCUAGUUGGUGAGGUAAUGGCUCACCAAGGCUACGAUCUAUAGCUGGUCUGAGAGGAUGAUCAGCCACACUGGGACUGAGACACGGCCCAGACUCCUACGGGAGGCAGCAGUGAGGAAUAUUGGACAAUGGGGGCAACCCUGAUCCAGCCAUGCCGCGUGAGUGAUGAAGGCCUUCGGGUUGUAAAACUCUUUAGACGUGACGAUGAUGACGGUAACAUCAGAAAAAGACUCCGGCUAACUUCGUGCCAGCAGCCGCGGU